AACGGCUACCACAUCUAAGGAAGGCAGCAGGCGCGCAAAUUACCCAAUCCCGACACGGGGAGGUAGUGACAAUAAAUACUGAUACAGGGCUCUUUUGGGUCUUGUAAUUGGAAUGAGUACAAUCUAAAUCCCUUAACGAGGAGCAAUUGGAGGGCAAGUCUGGUGCCAGCAGCCGCGGUAAUUCCAGCUCCAAUAGCGUAUAUUAAAGUUGUUGCAGUUAAAAAGCUCGUAGUUGAACCUUGGGUCUGGCUGGCCGGUCCGCCUCACCGCGUGCACUGGUCCGGCUGGACCUUUCCUUCUGGGGAGCCCCAUGGCCUUUACUGGCUGUGGGGGGAACCAGGACUUUUACUUUGAAAAAAUUAGAGUGUUCAAAGCAGGCCUUUGCUCGGAUACAUUAGCAUGGAAUAAUAGAAUAGGACGUGCGGUUCUAUUUUGUUGGUUUCUAGGACCGCCGUAAUGAUUAAUAGGGAUGGUCGGGGGCGUCAGUAUUCGGCUGUCAGAGGUGAAAUUCUUGGAUUCGCUGAAGACUAACUACUGCGAAAGCAUUCGCCAAGGAUGUUUUCAUUAAUCAGGGAACGAAAGUUAGGGGAUCGAAGACGAUCAGAUACCGUCGUAGUCUUAACCAUAAACUAUGCCGACUAGGGAUCGGACGGUGUUUUUAUGAUGACCCGUUCGGCACCUUACGAGAAAUCAAAGUUUUUGGGUUCUGGGGGGAGUAUGGUCGCAAGGCUGAAA
Molecule: ribosomal RNA, 735 nt
Filed under: uncultured Ascomycota
Lineage: Eukaryota; Fungi; Ascomycota
Description: SSU rRNA
Rfam family: Eukaryotic small subunit ribosomal RNA
Source: RNAcentral